Anas platyrhynchos (mallard) is the source of this 2084-nucleotide non-coding RNA. Lineage: Eukaryota; Metazoa; Chordata; Aves; Anseriformes; Anatidae. The record is from RefSeq and is a predicted model, not a curated record.
UUUCUGUGAUUUAUUAUAAACAUGGUAAAUUAUAAUCACUUAGGACACACAUUUUUACAUCAUUUUUACUCAAAUGAUUCUUUCCUAGUUGCUUAGUACCGUGCUUUACAUACCAGCUCUCCUUUCCAGAGGCCAGAUUUUUACAGGACUCUUUUGUAAUUGGCAGCUGAUUCUCUUUGCAUGUGAUCAAAACAACACCGAGAUGUGAAAAAAUAACAAAUUUCCUCCCAAUUGCAGCCAUGUGUCUGGAAACUGUUUCCAAAUAAACCAAAUAUAUUUUUGGAGUUUACACAUAUCUUGUGACAUUGUUCCAGAAUGUCACUGUAGUCUAGCUCACACCUGAACAGUUUUGCAGAGGUCUUAUAUUCCCGUUUGAGUUGGACUUGUGCCCAGAUGCACCCAAGGGUAGGGUGCAGUAGGAUGAGGUCUGCUUUCAGUAAUACCAACUGCCAGUAAACUCAAGAGGCCUAUUCAAAAUAGAAACAGUUAAGCAGUGCAGCCACACAAAAUUUUCCUGGCAGGAAAGAAAAGGGGUACACAGGACUGCUACAUCAAUUUCAAACUAAAAAAGAUUUCCUCCACUGUGCUUAUUGGGAAUGAAGAUGUUGCAAUUAUUUGAUGACCUGGCUAAGGAGCAUUCACAGAAGAGACUGAUAAGAAGGAGCCAGCCUUCAUAGACAGUGCCUCUACAAUCAUGUGUGAUGACAAGAAACAACCCACGGAACAAUAUGUAUCAUCUUUCACUGUGUCUGUCGGGAGGUGCUUUAUUUGGGGAAAAAACAGAAAACAAACUCAACUAAAUAUAAUAGAGAGUCAUAACAUACAUUGUUAACCUGAAUAUGGGCAACAGAAAAAUACAUAAUAAAAACAAUGACCUCUUUUGUAGCAAAAGAGGGUUUGGGAGAAAGUUCCCUUCUUUUACUGUAGAAACUCAGCAAUGAUGUUCAGUGGUGAUGCUAGUCAGCAAAAAUAUUGAAAUACUGCUUAGUAUUGAAGCUUAAGAGAGAUACCACCACGAUCAGAAAGGAGCUGCAUUGUAACAUGCAAGAUUCCUCUAAUUUUUAUUAAUUCUAUAAAAUAUGAAAGUUAGAAAAUUACAAUGGAAGAAACUUCAUUUGCUAUACUUUCGUGGACAGAACAAAUCUUUUCUGAAGAGUGACUGACAGGUUUGUCUGCCUGGGUAGGGAAAUAUAUAUUAUCUGUUUUCCACUACCUCCUGUGUGCAAACACUUCAAAAAUAUUAGUCCGCAUGCACAAAGACACUCCAAGAUGAGGACAUGCCUUCCCCUUAAAGAGAGAGAUGGUGCAGAUCUCCUUAGGGAAGCUGUGAUCAGAAUCAAAAUGAAGCAGUCAGUCACUGCACAACACUAUAAAAAAGGUCCCAGCACCAGUUUUUCAGCUAAGGAACAGCAUUGCACCCCAGUAACUGUCUGCUGUCUUUGGUUCACUCUGAUUCUGUGCCAUCCUGUAACUGGCUGUAUGUAUUGUUUAGCAAAUGACAUUGUGUUCCACUGUGCACCAUUUUUCAUUAAAGAUCUGUCAUAAGGGAACACAGAGCUACUGCAAAAUAGCUAGCAGACCUAAAUUCAUACCAUUAAUGUGCAGUAAUUGCAUUGUAAACAAACUCUGUUUCAGACUGCUGCUCAUCUUACUAUUGACUUAUCAGUUUACAUACUCACUUUAAAGAAUGAUAGUUAUAACCUACCGUGGAGAACUUUCUGAUACAUUAUAAAUACCCAAGCUAAGUUUCUGACUACAUUACACUAGUGUGAAUUCAGUGACCCCAAUGGAAAAAGAAUUCCUCCAGAUUAAUCCUCAACAAGAGGUCAAAACCUUGAUUCUUUUCUUUUUCUACUGGCUUGGUUGUCUGUUUUUAACUGGGAAUGCUAUUUAUACAGAACACUAUUUAAAUACGGAAGGUUUAUGAUUAUGCUAUGCAGACUGAGACAGACAAAGAAAAUGAGAAUGCUUGGAACAAUGUACAGCAGGUUGCUGGGUAGAGGUGGGUGAUUCUGAAUUCUCUUCAUUUGGAACAGACCCAAUGUAACUCCAAAAAAUGUGAAUGCAUUUAUACAAGCUACAGA